Molecule: ribosomal RNA, 653 nt
Filed under: Acinetobacter sp. 3AD2
Lineage: Bacteria; Pseudomonadati; Pseudomonadota; Gammaproteobacteria; Moraxellales; Moraxellaceae
Description: bacterial SSU rRNA
Rfam family: Bacterial small subunit ribosomal RNA
Source: RNAcentral
AAGCAGGGGAUCACUUGUGACCUUGCGCUAAUAGAUGAGCCUAAGUCGGAUUAGCUAGUUGGUGGGGUAAAGGCCUACCAAGGCGACGAUCUGUAGCGGGUCUGAGAGGAUGAUCCGCCACACUGGGACUGAGACACGGCCCAGACUCCUACGGGAGGCAGCAGUGGGGAAUAUUGGACAAUGGGGGGAACCCUGAUCCAGCCAUGCCGCGUGUGUGAAGAAGGCCUUUUGGUUGUAAAGCACUUUAAGCGAGGAGGAGGCUACUCUAGUUAAUACCUAGGGAUAGUGGACGUUACUCGCAGAAUAAGCACCGGCUAACUCUGUGCCAGCAGCCGCGGUAAUACAGAGGGUGCGAGCGUUAAUCGGAUUUACUGGGCGUAAAGCGUGCGUAGGUGGCCAAUUAAGUCAAAUGUGAAAUCCCCGAGCUUAACUUGGGAAUUGCAUUCGAUACUGGUUGGCUAGAGUAUGGGAGAGGAUGGUAGAAUUCCAGGUGUAGCGGUGAAAUGCGUAGAGAUCUGGAGGAAUACCGAUGGCGAAGGCAGCCGUCUGGCCUAAUACUGACACUGAGGUACGAAAGCAUGGGGAGCAAACAGGAUUAGAUACCCUGGUAGUCCAUGCCGUAAACGAUGUCUACUAGCCGUUGGGGUCUUUGA